This 506-nucleotide ribosomal RNA is filed under the name uncultured bacterium. Its description in RNAcentral is "partial 16S ribosomal RNA". It matches the Rfam family "Bacterial small subunit ribosomal RNA", at positions 30 to 523 of the family's 1533-position model. The record is from RNAcentral.
AUUGAACGCUGGCGGCAGGCCUAACACAUGCAAGUCGAACGGUAACAGAAAGCAGCUUGCUGCUUUGCUGACGAGUGGCGGACGGGUGAGUAAUGUCUGGGAAACUGCCUGAUGGAGGGGGAUAACUACUGGAAACGGUAGCUAAUACCGCAUAACGUCGCAAGACCAAAGAGGGGGACCUUCGGGCCUCUUGCCAUCGGAUGUGCCCAGAUGGGAUUAGCUAGUAGGUGGGGUAACGGCUCACCUAGGCGACGAUCCCUAGCUGGUCUGAGAGGAUGACCAGCCACACUGGAACUGGGACACGGUCCAGACUCCUACGGGAGGCAGCAGUGGGGAAUAUUGCACAAUGGGCGCAAGCCUGAUGCGGCCAUGCCGGGUGUAUGAAGAAGGCCUUCGGGUUGUAAAGUACUUUCAGCGAGGAGGAAGGUGUUGUGGUUAAUAACCACAGCAAUUGACGUUACUCGCAGAAGAAGCACCGGCUAACUCCGUGCCAGCCGCCGCAGUAA